Molecule: transfer RNA, 61 nt
Filed under: Crangonyx forbesi
Lineage: Eukaryota; Metazoa; Arthropoda; Malacostraca; Amphipoda; Crangonyctidae
Description: tRNA-Leu
Source: RNAcentral
UUCAGGAUGACAGAAUAUUAUGUGCUAGUUUUAAGACCUAGCUAUGGGUUACCUCCAGAAA